Fundulus heteroclitus (mummichog) is the source of this 249-nucleotide long non-coding RNA. RefSeq lists it as uncharacterized. The record is from RefSeq and is a predicted model, not a curated record. Lineage: Eukaryota; Metazoa; Chordata; Actinopteri; Cyprinodontiformes; Fundulidae. The transcript is spliced from 3 exons.
AUAAAAGUUUAUUUUAUGUUAGAAACAGGGCAGUGUAGUCCAGCUACUCUGUCCUCCCACAGAGACGAUAGAGAGACGUGAAGGAGUGAUGUUCCACAUCUGGAAGAAUAUUUAAUGCGUUUUAUGGUACAAAAAAAUACGAUAAAUCAGAAUCUUUUUAACUCGAGGCCCCAGCUGUUGGUGGAAGCGAGGAAGAUCCAUGUUUUGCACUAUUCAACGCUUUUAAUACAUUUUGAUUAACCUGGGUUU